GCGGCUGUGGCUCAGUGGAAAGGGCAGUCAUCUUACAGUCGGAUAGGACUGGGUUAGAUUUCCAGUUCCCCUCAGCCACA
Molecule: non-coding RNA, 80 nt
Organism: Crenichthys baileyi (White River springfish)
Lineage: Eukaryota; Metazoa; Chordata; Actinopteri; Cyprinodontiformes; Goodeidae
Source: the annotation of a GenBank genome assembly